UUUUCAGCACAGAGAGUAAAUGGGACGCAUUUAUCGGUAUGUAAGCACCUGUAAGCGUUUGUAUUUCUGUAAAAGAAAGAAGGUGUAUUGCCAGCGGGUGGAUCGUUGAAAAUUGAAAUAGAUUUUUGAUCACAACGUGCUCGAAGCUAAUUAGGUUUAACCGAUGCAAGCGGCUUCUUCAGUGGCACGCGUUCAAGGGCCAUGAAAAUACACUUUUUAUAGAUGAAAAAAUGGUCACUGUAGAAGAAGUUCCUUAUGAGCAAAACGACAAAAUACAAAAAACUUCCAAAGAUGCAAAAUAGGUUAUUCCAUGGGCUCAAAGUGCACACCAUUCAGCUGCUGUAAUGGUUUAAUGAAGAGUCUGCUAUAAAGGCGUUACACCUCUUCACUACUGUGAAAAAAGAAUUUAAACUGGGGCAAAAGUGUACCAGCAGGAUGUUUUAGAAAGCGUGGUAAAGCAGUGAUUGAAGAACUGUCGACUAUCCCACAAAAAUUUGGAGAGUCUCAAAAAAUCGUGCGUCCAGCAGCGUCGGACAAUACCAAUAGAAACUGUACGUGCUGCUUUAGACAAAUGGCUGAACCGUUCGAGGGUUAUGUGAAAGCAAAAGUUGGAUUUUUAUAACGGCCUGAACUUGUAACAGCACUUAUGGUAGGACUAAGUACUUGUAGUUGUAUUUAGAAAUGCACCUGUGAUGGGUAGUGUAGCUUACGUGAAGCCAAAAUCAACCCUUUUUUAUUGUUUUUUAAAAUUUAGAGCUAAGCGAGACCUUUUUUCAUAAAUAAUUACUUCUACCUUACUAAUUUGUAUACAUUGGAGAAAAAAAAAUUGUGUAAGCGAAGUUCAUCUGACACAAUGGAAAGUUCGAAGUAAUUAAUUCAAAUAAUGCUUAAUAAAGGUGUUCGUCCACCUAUAAAUUGAUAUUCACAAAAAUGUAUACCAUUAAAUCCAAAUAUGUGCAUACAAUUUAUAUGUAUAUGUAGUUGGGAACUAUAGUGAAAUUUUAAAUUAAAUCUGAAACGCAAAAGUAGUUUCAAUAUAAGCAAAUACAUAUGUAUACAUAUAUGUAUGUGACUAUAAAAAAUGCACUCUAAACUGACCCUGACCAUGACAUGUCUAUAUACAUAACCAACUAUCUACAAAAGCUCAGCACACUUCUGCAUUUCUAAUGUUUUUAUACUUAUGUAAAUUCCUAGAAUUAUUAGCGAAAAAUUAUACAAACUCACUCUGCAUUAUAUCAGAAUUUUUUAGGAGACUAUCGGCGAAGCAAAGCAAAUGAUUUGCAAAAAAAAUCAAAAAUACUGAUAUUGUAUAUAUACUUUUAAAGAUAUAUAGUAUAGAUAUAGUAGAAGAAACAUAUACGAUUGUAUGCAGGAUUGAUUUAUAUGAUUUUUAAGCAUUGACGUCAUCAUAAAGGAACAGAAAAAUCGGGAGCACACAUCAUCCACGAAACUUAGAUAAAUAUAAGAGUAUUUUUAAAACAUUGCAGUGUUUACAUUUUUUUAAUUUUGCUGCUCGUGAUUUGUAUAUACACACAUACAAAGGCUUCUUCUAGUAGGUUAUAAUUAUUAACUGAAAGUCAAUAUUAGUUUUUUGUGAAAUAAAUUUCUAAAGUAACGCCAAGAAAGUGUUUUGUAAACAUAUUUACCUAAAAGAUGAAAUUACUAGAUAUUAAGAGUUGUUCCAAUAGUUUUCAAUAAUAAUAUUGAAAUAAAGAAAUAUAUAAUUCAUAUUAUUUUAACUAAGCUUUAAGAUAAUAAAAAUUUCUAAUAUAUGUAAUAUACUAUUAUUACCAACUACAUUAAUAAUAAAAUGUCUUUUUACAGCUUUUUCCAAUUGUCAAAGUCUUAAAAAAUUAGUUAUUUUAUGAUUUUGAGGCAUUAUUUUGUGAAGCCAUGUAAAAAAUUGUAAAAUUAUCUUUUACGAUUUAAUGUUGUACUCGAAUAACUUUCAAGCAAGUUAAUUUUGGUGCUCGUGAUUUGUAUAUACACACAUACAAAGGCUUCUUCUAGUAGGUUAUAAUUAUUAACUGAAAGUCAAUAUUAGUUUUUUGUGAAAUAAAUUUCUAAAGUAACGCCAAGAAAGUGUUUUGUAAACAUAUUUACCUAAAAGAUGAAAUUACUAGAUAUUAAGAGUUGUUCCAAUAGUUUUCAAUAAUAAUAUUGAAAUAAAGAAAUAUAUAAUUCAUAUUAUUUUAACUAAGCUUUAAGAUAAUAAAAAUUUCUAAUAUAUGUAAUAUACUAUUAUUACCAACUACAUUAAUAAUAAAAUGUCUUUUUACAGCUUUUUCCAAUUGUCAAAG
Molecule: non-coding RNA, 2300 nt
Organism: Bactrocera oleae (olive fruit fly)
Lineage: Eukaryota; Metazoa; Arthropoda; Insecta; Diptera; Tephritidae
Source: RefSeq, a predicted model, not a curated record